AUUUAUUUAGUAUAAUAAGUACAUUUGAUUUCCAAUCUUAAGGUCUUUUUCAAGAAUAAAUA
This 62-nucleotide transfer RNA is filed under the name Dagualachesilloides caliensis. RNAcentral's name for it is "tRNA-Gly". The record is from RNAcentral. Lineage: Eukaryota; Metazoa; Arthropoda; Insecta; Psocodea; Sphaeropsocidae.